AAAAUGACUCUCGGCAACGGAUAUCUCGGCUCUCGUAUCGAUGAAGAACGUAGCGAAAUGCGAUACUUGGUGUGAAUUGCAGAAUCCCGUGAACCAUCGAGUCUUUGAACGCAAGUUGCGCCCGAAGUCUUCUGGCUAAGGGCACGCCUGCCUGGGCGUCACACAU
Molecule: ribosomal RNA, 166 nt
Filed under: Orobanche boninsimae
Lineage: Eukaryota; Viridiplantae; Streptophyta; Magnoliopsida; Lamiales; Orobanchaceae
Description: 5.8S ribosomal RNA
Rfam family: 5.8S ribosomal RNA
About the family: 5.8S ribosomal RNA (5.8S rRNA) is a component of the large subunit of the eukaryotic ribosome. It is transcribed by RNA polymerase I as part of the 45S precursor that also contains 18S and 28S rRNA. Functionally, it is thought that 5.8S rRNA may be involved in ribosome translocation.
Source: RNAcentral